GGAAGGAUCAUUACCGUGUUUGAUGGCUUCGGCCAUUUUCCACGCCCCUUGUUUCCACCUCCGGUUUCUUUGGCGAGAACUUGAUCGCUCUCGUCAGAAUCACUCUGGGAAUGCGGUAUCGUCUGAGUCUUUGAUUAAAUCAGCUCAAAACUUUCAACAACGGAUCUCUUGGUUCCAGCAUCGAUGAAGAACGCAGCGAAAUGCGAUAAGUAAUGUGAAUUGCAGAAUUCCGUGAAUCAUCGAGUUUUUGAACGCACAUUGCACUCCUUGGCAUUCCGAGGAGUACGCCUGUUCGAGCGUCAUUUCACCAUCAAGCCCUCGGCUUGGAGUUGGGCCUGGCUGCGGCCAUGCCUUAAUGGAAUGGGCGAUUGACCAUAGUGAUGACUCACUCGCGUCAAUCCGCAUUUUGACUCUGGUUGACCUCGGAUCAGGCGGGGAUACCCGCUGAACUUAAGCAUAUCAAUAAGCGGAGGAAAAGAAACCAACCGGGAUUGCCUCAGUAACGGCGAGUGAAGCGGCAACAGCUCAGAUUUGAAAGCCGAGUCCCUUCGGACUUUGCAUUGUCAUCUGCAGAGGAAGUCUCGCGAACGACGAGCCCCAAGUCUCCUGGAACGGAGCGUCAUGGAGGGUGAGAAUCCCGUGGGGGUGACCGUCCGCCGCAGGUGAGACUCCUUCGACGAGUCGAGUUGUUUGGGAAUGCAGCUCUAAUUGGGAGGUAAAUUCCUCCUAAAGCUAAAUAUCGGCUGGAGACCGAUAGCGCACAAGUAGAGUGAUCGAAAGAUGAAAAGCACUUUGAAAAGAGAGUCAAACAGCACGUGAAAUUGUUGAAAGGGAAGCGCUGUCCGUCAGACUUGUCGGUGAGGAUCACCCUUCGUUUUUCGGGGGGGCACUCGUCGCCGGCAGGCCCGCAUCGGUUUGGGCGGCUGGAGAAAGGCGGUGGGAAUGUAGCUCUUCUCGAAGAGUGUUAUAGCCCGCCGCGCAAUACGGCCAGCCUAGACCGAGGUCUGCGCUUCGGCUCGGAUGUGGGCGUAAUGGCGGUCAGCGGCCCGUCUUGAAACACGGACCAAGGAGUCUAACAUCUAUGCGAGUGUUUGGGCGUCAAACCCCUACGCGAAAUGAAAGUGAACGGAGGCGAGAGCUUUUUGCGCACCGCCGACCGAUCCUGAUGUCCUCGGAUGGAUUUGAGUACGAGCGUAGCUGUUGGGACCCGAAAGAUGGUGAACUAUGCCUGAAUAGGGCGAAGCCAGAGGAAACUCUGGUGGAGGCUCGCAGCGGUUCUGACGUGCAAAUCGAUCGUCAAAUUUGGGUAUAGGGGCGAAAGACUAAUCGAACCAUCUAGUAGCUGGUUCCUGC
This 1353-nucleotide unclassified non-coding RNA is filed under the name uncultured Capnodiales. RNAcentral describes it as "sequence contains 18S rRNA gene, ITS1, 5.8S rRNA gene, ITS2, 28S rRNA gene". The stretch from base 418 to 1353 matches the Rfam family "Eukaryotic large subunit ribosomal RNA", at positions 1 to 961 of the family's 3401-position model. Lineage: Eukaryota; Fungi; Ascomycota; Dothideomycetes; Capnodiales. The record is from RNAcentral.